AAGGACGUAGUAUAAUGGUAGUAUCAUCGAUUCCAAUCCGAUUUGUGGAGGUUCAAUUCCUUCCGUCCUUG
RNAcentral lists this transfer RNA (71 nucleotides) under Apiotrichum gracile. RNAcentral's name for it is "tRNA-Trp". It matches the Rfam family "tRNA". Rfam says of the family: Transfer RNA (tRNA) molecules are approximately 80 nucleotides in length. Their secondary structure includes four short double-helical elements and three loops (D, anti-codon, and T loops). Further hydrogen bonds mediate the characteristic L-shaped molecular structure. tRNAs have two regions of fundamental functional importance: the anti-codon, which is responsible for specific mRNA codon recognition, and the 3' end, to which the tRNAs corresponding amino acid is attached (by aminoacyl-tRNA synthetases). tRNAs cope with the degeneracy of the genetic code in two manners: having more than one tRNA (with a specific anti-codon) for a particular amino acid; and 'wobble' base-pairing, i.e. permitting non-standard base-pairing at the 3rd anti-codon position. Lineage: Eukaryota; Fungi; Basidiomycota; Tremellomycetes; Trichosporonales; Trichosporonaceae. The record is from RNAcentral.